RNAcentral lists this ribosomal RNA (496 nucleotides) under uncultured bacterium. RNAcentral's name for it is "partial 16S ribosomal RNA". It matches the Rfam family "Bacterial small subunit ribosomal RNA", at positions 28 to 506 of the family's 1533-position model. The record is from RNAcentral.
GAUGAACGCUGGCGGCGUGCCUAAUACAUGCAAGUCGAGCGAACGGACGAGAAGCUUGCUUCUCUGAUGUUAGCGGCGGACGGGUGAGUAACACGUGGAUAACCUACCUAUAAGACUGGGAUAACUUCGGGAAACCGUAGCUAAUACCGGAUAAUAUUUUGAACCGCAUGGUUCAAAAGUGAAAGACGGUCUUGCUGUCACUUAUAGAUGGAUCCGCGCUGCAUUAGCUAGUUGGUAAGGUAACGGCUUACCAAGGCAACGAUGCAUAGCCGACCUGAGAGGGUGAUCGGCCACACUGGAGCUGAGACACGGUCCAGACUCCUACGGGAGGCAGCAGUAGGGAAUCUUCCGCAAUGUGCGAAAGCCUGACGGAGCAACGCCGCGUGAGUGAUGAAAGUCUUCAGAUCGUAAAACUCUGUUAUUAGGGAAGAACAUAUGUGUAAGUAACUGUGCACAUCUUGACGGUACCUAAUCAGAAAGCCACGGCUAACUACGU